RNAcentral lists this ribosomal RNA (440 nucleotides) under uncultured bacterium. RNAcentral describes it as "partial 16S ribosomal RNA". It matches the Rfam family "Bacterial small subunit ribosomal RNA", at positions 338 to 795 of the family's 1533-position model. The record is from RNAcentral.
CCUACGGGAGGCAGCAGUGGGGAAUAUUGCACAAUGGGGGGAACCCUGAUGCAGCGACGCCGCGUGAGCGAUGACGUACUUCGGUAUGUAAAGCUCUAUCAGUAGGGAAGAAAAUGACGGUACCUGACUAGGAAGCUCCGGCUAACUACGUGCCAGCAACCGCGGUAAUACGUAGGGGGCAAGCGUUAUCCGGAUUUACUGGGUGUAAAGGGAGCGUAGACGGGUAUGUAAGUCUGGAGUGAAAGCUCGGGGCUUAACCCGGGGACUGCGUUGGAAACUGUGUAACUGGAGUGCAGGAGAGGCAGGCGGAAUUCCUGGUGUAGCGGUGAAAUGCGUAGAUAUCAGGAGGAACACCGGCGGCGAAGGCGACCUGCUGGACUGAAACUGACGCUGAGGCUCGAAAGCGUGGGGAGCAAACAGGAUUAGAUACCCGGGUAGUC